RNAcentral lists this ribosomal RNA (1141 nucleotides) under Candidatus Synechococcus spongiarum. Its description in RNAcentral is "bacterial SSU rRNA". It matches the Rfam family "Bacterial small subunit ribosomal RNA", at positions 376 to 1533 of the family's 1533-position model. Lineage: Bacteria; Bacillati; Cyanobacteriota; Cyanophyceae; Synechococcales; Synechococcaceae. The record is from RNAcentral.
CGAAAGCCUGACGGAGCAACGCCGCGUGAGGGAUGGAGGCCUUUGGGCUGUAAACCUCUUUUCUCAAGGAAGAAGAUCUGACGGUACUUGAGGAAUAAGCCACGGCUAAUUCCGUGCCAGCAGCCGCGGUAAUACGGGAGUGGCAAGCGUUAUCCGGAAUUAUUGGGCGUAAAGCGUCCGCAGGCGGCCGUUUAAGUCUGUUGUUAAAUCGUGGAGCUCAACUCCAUCACGGCAAUGGAAACUGUUCGGCUUGAGUAUGGUAGGGGCAGAGGGAAUUUCCGGUGUAGCGGUGAAAUGCGUAGAUAUCGGGAAGAACACCAGUGGCGAAAGCGCUCUGCUGGGCCAUUACUGACGCUCAUGGACGAAAGCCAGGGGAACGAAAGGGAUUAGAUACCCCUGUAGUCCUGGCCGUAAACGAUGAACACUAGAUGUUGGGGGAAUCGACCCCCUCGGUGUCGUAGCUAACGCGUUAAGUGUUCCGCCUGGGGAGUACGCACGCAAGUGUGAAACUCAAAGGAAUUGACGGGGGCCCGCACAAGCGGUGGAGUAUGUGGUUUAAUUCGAUGCAACGCGAAGAACCUUACCAAGGCGUGACAUCCUGCGAAUCUCUAAGAAAUUAGAGAGUGCCUUCGGGAACGCAGUGACAGGUGGUGCAUGGCUGUCGUCAGCUCGUGUCGUGAGAUGUUGGGUUAAGUCCCGCAACGAGCGCAACCCACGUUUUUAGUUGCCAGCAUUCAGUUGGGCACUCUAGAAAGACUGCCGGUGACAAACCGGAGGAAGGUGUGGACGACGUCAAGUCAUCAUGCCCCUUACGCUUUGGGCUACACACGUACUACAAUGCUGCGGACAAAGAGUAGCGAUCUUGCGAAAGUUAGCUAAUCUCAUAAACCGUGGCUCAGUUCAGAUCGUAGGCUGCAACUCGCCUACGUGAAGGAGGAAUCGCUAGUAAUCGCAGGUCAGCAUACUGCGGUGAAUACGUUCCCGGGCCUUGUACACACCGCCCGUCACACCAUGGAAGUUGGCCAUGCCCGAAGUCGUUACUCUAACCUUUUGGAAGAGGGCGCCGAAGGCAGGGCUAAUGACUGGGGUGAAGUCGUAACAAGGUAGCCGUAGCGGAAGCUGCGGCUGGAUCACCUCCUAA